GUACAGUUUUGAAUAGCUAAAGAUCAUAUUUGUGCAUUGUCAAAGUUUAAGAUCAAAGUUAUAAUUUAGUGUAAAGUUUAGGAUCAUUUUUAUGUAUUAACUCAUCUUCAAAACAUUGAAUUUAGUUUCAAGGAAUCAUGUGAUUAUUCAAUGGAGCGAUAUUGGUUCCCAAAAUUGGAUUUUCUAACUGAACUAGAUUGCCUCUGGGUAGCUUUUGAAAGUUCAAAGACAAAUGAUUUUGGGCCCUCUUUAGAGACAAAUUGGUUAUAGGAUUUUCACUUCCCGUCUAAUUUGAAAACAUUGAAGUUGUGUGACUUUCCUCUAACAUCCGAUUCACUAUCAACAAUAGCGAGAUUGCCCAACCUUAAAGAGUUGUUCCUUAUUACAACAAUCAUCAAGGAGGAAGAAUGGAACAUGGGGGAGGAAGACACCUUUGUGAAUCUAAAAUAUUUGGGCUUGAAUGACGAGACUCUUGCUAAGUGGGAGUUUGCAGAGGAAUCCUUUCCCGUGCUUGAGAAAUUAGCACUGUGGGAAUGUCGUAAGCUUACAAAGAUUCCGCCUAAUUUUGGGGAUAUUGAUUCAUUAAAAAUUAUCGAACUCUUUGAGAGCCCUCAACUUGAAGAUUCAGCUGUGGAGAUUAAACAAUAUGUUGAAGAUAUCACGGGAGUAGACAAGCUUCAGAUCCUUGAUCUGAAUAAUAUACCGUUAUCUAAGACAGAUCCUGAGAACUUGAAAGGAAGGGAAGGAGAAGUUACUUUGGUAGAAUGAAGAAAAUGGAGGAGAAAUAAAGGAGGAGGAAACAAACAACUCAUCGAACCCUUCCCUGCUUCCCCAAGCUCCUCUGCCAUGCUCAGUUCACACCUUCUAGUUGGCGUGCCGCUGCUAUGCCUAGCAGUGCGAGUUUGCUGCAACCGAAUGCUAGCGACUUCAACUGUAAGUCUCUCUUUGAUACAUACAUGGUGCUUCCCCGAGCUCCUCCUCCAUGCUCAGUUCACACCUCUUAGUUGGCGUGCUGCUGCUAUGCCUAGCAGUGCGAGUUUCUUCAACUGUAAGUCUCUCUUUGAAACAUACAUGGUGCUUCCCCGAGCUCCUCCGCGAUGCUCAGUUCACACCUCUUAGUUGGCGUGCUGCUGCUAUGCCUAGCAGUGCGAGUUUCUUCACCUGUAAGUCUCUCUUUGAAACAUACAUGGGAUUGCUGACUCUGAUAUGAUGAGCAAGAAGGAUCAGCCACCGAUAAGCAUUUGGAGUUGAGGGGCCGUUGCUUCUUAUGAUCAAGCUGUUCAAAUAGGUGCUGCUGUACAACAUUUGGCCUCAUGUGCAACAGUAAGUUUCGUUCUUAUUAAUGCACAAAUACCUGGAUAUGCCAUCUCAAACUUAUGACAAAAUUGGUGCCUCGAUAUCUCUGUAUUGGAGGCAAGAGCAUCGACAUGUUACAGCAGACAUCUGCUGCCCCAAAAGUCGUUCCUUAUGUAAAAGGUUGAAAAUAUGUUAUGAACCAAUCUUUGUUAUGUGGUCCUUUGUUACAUGGACUUUGUAUGGGUGGUGGCACAACCAAUCAUUUCAGCAAGUGUUUGUGUAUUUUCAGCAAUCUUUUCUUUUCUUGACAGACUCAAACUUAGAAUCCAAUUUCGACAAAAUAUCCUUAUGAUUUUCAACAACAUUGUUUGGAUCUUUCUUCUUGUUCAAGGAAUGCUUUGUUGAUACCGAUCAAGCAAGGUUAAAGCUAUAUUUAAGGCAUAGACUUUCAAACAAAAUCCAACUCUAUUUUUCACUUCCUCUUCUCUGCUUCCUUACCUCACCUUGCUUAGAAAUUAAGCUGGGAUGUCUACCACUACUUCUGGUCUUUCCUGUAAAUCUUGACUUACCGAGCACAAUCCAACACUUUUUAGUACAAAUAGAACAUUACAGCCCAGUAAUGGCCGGUAAGAUAAAACUCUGAUUUUGAUCACAAAGAAGACUUGAGAUGCACUUACAAAAGACUCAAAAAAGGUGUUCAUGAGACCGUAUCAAAAAAGAUUUAAGAGAUCCAAUGGAAAAUGUCAUAAUCGCAGCAUCAGUAGUUGAAAAACGAGAUAAACGCGCCAAGACCCCAGGCUUAACAAGAGGUGAAAAAGAGGAUUGAUGAGCUACACAAAGAGACAUGUUUGAUAAAUGCACUUUGAUUGAUGGUGAUGCCUAGUCACUAAUGAAGAGGUUAUUGCACAAGUCAUUCGAGAACAUGUAGAAGAUGAAUACAAAAGUGUGAUGAAAAACCUCAGUCUACUGCUACUUGCGGUGAGGUAGUAGAGUCAACUGUUAAACUCUUAGACGGUCUUCAAGAGAAAGUUAUUGAAUACCUUUUGCUGAAAGUUUGGUUGAAUCUUCAUCAAUUCAAGUGGUAGAUUCUCACCAAGAAGACUGAAAUUUACGGAAAACUAGAAUUAUAAAAUACUUACGUCAAACUUAAAAAUUUUAAAUCAUAUGUUCCUUAAAUUUUAACUCUUUGUUGGUGCAGUAUAACUAUUUCUCGGUACGAAACUAUAUUUUUAUGGAUAUAUCGAGUGUGAACAAGUUUUUCGCCUUUUGCGUAGGGAUGAGUACCUUCAAAUUUCAUCGAAAACCUUUUGAUUUCAUGAAAAGGAUAGAUGAUUUCAGUGUCAUGUAAAUAAAAGGAUAAUAAGCAUAGUUGCUUGCAGUCUAUUGGAAAUUAACGUCCAUUAAUACAA
This is a long non-coding RNA of Capsicum annuum, 2705 nucleotides long. RefSeq lists it as uncharacterized. The transcript is spliced from 4 exons. NCBI's taxonomy places the organism in Eukaryota, Viridiplantae, Streptophyta, Magnoliopsida, Solanales, Solanaceae. The record is from RefSeq and is a predicted model, not a curated record.